RNAcentral lists this unclassified non-coding RNA (512 nucleotides) under Hevea brasiliensis (rubber tree). Lineage: Eukaryota; Viridiplantae; Streptophyta; Magnoliopsida; Malpighiales; Euphorbiaceae. The record is from RNAcentral.
AGUAAACCAGGGGAUGCUUCUUCAAGUAAGCUCGGAUCUUAUCUCAUCCAAUCCCAAUUUCAGUCUGCUGGGAACUCUAGUGGGCUUUUCCUGACUGCUGCAGCUCAAAAUUUGUUGUGUCUCAAAUUAGCAGAGGAACUUGGGGUUAUAAUUUCAAGCCCUUGGGUUUCUUGGUUCAAGGCUGCCAGUUUGCCAGCUUUUGUUUCUCUUCUAGCUACACCAUUUAUCUUAUACAACCUUUAUCCUCCUGAAACCAAGGACACUCCAGAUGCCCAGGCAAUGGCUGCAAAGAAACUGGAGAAUAUGGGUCCUGUCACAAAAAAUGAAUGGAUCAUGGUUGGCGCAAUGGUUCUUGCAGUUUCUAUGUGGGUGUUGGGAGAUACUCUUGGUAUACCAAGUGUUGUAGCUGCAAUGAUUGCCUUAUCAAUAUUACUUUUGUUAGGAGUGCUUGAUUGGGAUGACUGCUUAAGUGAAAAAUCAGCCUGGGAUACCUUGGCUUGGUUUGCUGUUCU